This 74-nucleotide transfer RNA is filed under the name bacterium. RNAcentral describes it as "tRNA-Glu". It matches the Rfam family "tRNA". Rfam says of the family: Transfer RNA (tRNA) molecules are approximately 80 nucleotides in length. The record is from RNAcentral.
GGCCCCGUCGUCUAGCGGUCCAGGACACUAGGUUUUCAUCCUAGUAAUCACCGGUUCGAAUCCGGUCGGGGUCA